RNAcentral lists this ribosomal RNA (305 nucleotides) under uncultured bacterium. RNAcentral's name for it is "bacterial SSU rRNA". It matches the Rfam family "Bacterial small subunit ribosomal RNA", at positions 335 to 655 of the family's 1533-position model. The record is from RNAcentral.
CUUCCUACGGGAGGCAGCAGUGGGGAAUAUUGGGCAAUGGGCGCAAGCCUGACCCAGCGACGCCGCGUGAGGGAAGACGGUCUUCGGAUUGUAAACCUCUUUCAGCAGGGAAGACAAAAGGACGGUACCUGCAGAAGAAGCCACGGCUAACUACGUGCCAGCAGCCGCGGUAAUACGUAGGUGGCAAGCGUUAUCCGGAUUUACUGGGUGUAAAGGGAGCGUAGGCGGUUUAGCAAGUCAGAAGUGAAAGCCCGGGGCUCAACUCCGGGACUGCUUUUGAAACUGUUGAACUAGAUUGCAGGAGG